This 319-nucleotide ribosomal RNA is filed under the name uncultured eukaryote. RNAcentral describes it as "partial 18S ribosomal RNA". It matches the Rfam family "Eukaryotic small subunit ribosomal RNA", at positions 1470 to 1796 of the family's 1831-position model. The record is from RNAcentral.
CCCUUAGAUGUUCUGGGCCGCACGCGCGCUACACUGAAUGGAUCAACGUGUUUUCCCUUCCCGAGAGGGACGGGUAACCCGCUGAACCCCAUUCGUGGUAGGGAUCGGAGCUUGCAAUUGUUCUCCGUGAACCAGGAAUUCCUAGUAAACGCAAGUCAUCAGCUUGCAUUGAUUACGUCCCUGCCCUUUGUACACACCGCCCGUCGCACCUACCGAUUGAAUGGUCCGGUGAAAUCUCGGGACGGCGGCUUGGUCGCUUGCGUCCGACUGCUGAAACUUGAUUAAACCAUAUCAUUUAGAGGAAGGUGAAGUCGUAACA